This 800-nucleotide ribosomal RNA is filed under the name uncultured bacterium. RNAcentral's name for it is "bacterial SSU rRNA". It matches the Rfam family "Bacterial small subunit ribosomal RNA", at positions 8 to 796 of the family's 1533-position model. The record is from RNAcentral.
AGGAUUUGAUCCUGGCUCAGGACGAACGCUGGCGGCGUGCCUAACACAUGCAAGUCGAACGGGACCGGGGGCAACUCCGGUUCAGUGGCAGAUGGGUGCGUAACACGUGAGGAACUUGUCCGACGGUGGGGGAUAGCCGGCCCAACGGCCGGGUAAUACCGCAUACGCUCGUUCGGGGGCAUCCCUGGGCGAGGAAAGCAGCCGCAAGGUUGCGCCGGUGGAGAGCCUCGCGACCUAUCAGCUAGUUGGCGGGGUAAUGGCCCACCAAGGCGACGACGGGUAGCUGGUCUGAGAGGAUGGCCAGCCACAUUGGGACUGAGACACGGCCCAGACUCCUACGGGAGGCAGCAGUGGGGAAUAUUGCGCAAUGGCCGCAAGGCUGACGCAGCGACGCCGCGUGUGGGAUGACGGCCCUCGGGUUGUAAACCACUGUCGGGAGGGACGAAUACGGGGCCUCGAAUAGGGGACCCUGGGCGACGGUACCUCCAAAGGAAGCACCGGCUAACUCCGUGCCAGCAGCCGCGGUAAUACGGAGGGUGCGAGCGUUGUCCGGAAUCACUGGGCGUAAAGGGCGCGUAGGCGGUUCGCUAAGUUGCUGGUGAAAUCCCGGGGCUCAACUCCGGGGCUGCCGGCAAGACUGGCGGGCUAGAGCACGGUAGAGGCAGAUGGAAUUCCCGGUGUAGCGGUGGAAUGCGUAGAUAUCGGGAAGAAUACCGGUGGCGAAGGCGUUCUGCUGGGCCGUGCUGACGCUGAGGCGCGACAGCGUGGNNNGCAAACAGGAUUAGAUACCCCCGUAGUCC